Molecule: long non-coding RNA, 2708 nt
Filed under: Sus scrofa (pig)
Lineage: Eukaryota; Metazoa; Chordata; Mammalia; Artiodactyla; Suidae
Description: lncRNA (ENSSSCG00035053809.1, ENSSSCG00040051173.1)
Source: RNAcentral
UUUUUUUUUUUUUUUUUGUCUUACUCAAUAAUUGUGCUGGGAGCUACAUUCUCCCUGAGUCAUGCUAUCAAAUCAGAGAGUCGAUUUCAACAGCAGCAAUGAUGAACUUAAGUCUGAAAUGUCCUGGGCUCCAGUCAUUGUGUGUGUGUGUCCACAGGACUUGGAUUUACUCAAUCUGUGCAGCACUUAGGUUGUUUGUAAAAUUUCUGUUCACGGUAUGUAUCACAGUGUAUUGAAACUAUAGUUUUUAGCUCUGUGUCAAAAUUGGGGGAAAUGACCCAGUAGUGAGCAGAAUUUGGAGCACUCCUUAUAUCCAACAUUUUAAUUUUUAUUUUAUUUCAUUUUGGGGGCUGCACCCAUGGCAUGUGGACGUUCUCAGGCCAGGGAUCAAACCCAUGCCACAGCAGCAACUUGGAGCCACUGAAGUGACAAUGGCAGAUCCUUAGGGAACUCGGAAUCCCACUGAGCCACCAGGGAACUCCUAGAUCCAACAUUUGAAAGUUUUUUACUCGGUGGCAACACUAUGUGAUACUGUACACACUGAUUUGUGUGUUAAAGGACAAAGCUUGGGAAUCAGUUCCUCAGAUUGAAGUCCUGGCUUUCCACGUAACAGCCACGUCAUCUCUAUUACUCUUACAUAUUGACAUGGGGAUGGUGAUAAUGAUAGUAACACCUGCUUCACAGAGUUGACUAGAUAACUUAACACAUGAAAAGCCCUGGGCAGGAAUAAGUGCUUACUAAGGGGAAGUUGUUACUGCUAUUUCAUCCUUUAAAAAGAAAGAAUGAAAAUGUAUACCUAGAAGCCUGUGAUUUAGUAUGCAACCAAUCCGUAGCUUAGUAUUGGAAUAGAAGGCAUGAAAUGGCUUUUUACACAAAAUACUGUAUAUGAAACAUUUUAUUUCUAGUUAGUUGAAAGCAAUACGAAUGGGAAAACCUUGGUUUUAGAAAUGACCUCCUAGUCAGAAAAUAAGUGUAUAAAAAUUAGAUACUUGAAUUACUCCCUGAUGUUAAACUGACAAAACAGUACCUCCAUGUAUAUUUUUUCCUCCUUUUUAGGGCCGCACCCGAGGCAUAUGGAGGUUUCCAGGCUAGGGGUCUAAUCGGAGCUGCAGCCACCGGCCUACACCACAGCCACAGCAAUGCCAGAUCUGAGCCACGUCUGUGACCUACACCACAGCUCAUGGCAACACUGGAUCCUUAACCCACUGAGCAAGGCCAGGGAUCGAACCCACAACCUCAUAGUUCCCAGUGAGAUUCAUUUCCACUGCACCACAACAGGAUCUUUAGUACCUCCAUAUUUUGUCCUUUUUUUUUUUUUUUAAUCUUUUUAGGGCCGCACCCAUGGCAUUUGGAGAAGCCCUGAAAAGCAAAAAAAUAAAAAUAAAAAUAUUAAAAAAUUAGAUUAUAACUCCCCAAAUAAAAUAUAUAUCCAUGAGCCUGCAAUGAAAUAAACAAAAAUAAGUAAAUAAAUAAAUGAGGGAGAAUGGACAACUCCAUUGAUGAGGAGAAAUAAAAUAUCUGCAUAGUUCAAAUUAUCUCCCCCCAAGGUAUCUUCUGAUUGCAGACAGAAAAACAGUAGUGUCACAGUGGAGAAACCAGAAGACACCCGCUUAACCAAAUAAUCAAGCUAUUAUCACUAGUGUGACAGGCAGAAUUCUCAGAUGCCCAGUCUCCCCCCUUUCCUGUCCACUUUUGGUUUACAAGCCUUUCAUAAUCAGCCAAGCUGUGAAUACAAUGGAUUUUAAUCCUGUGACGAGGUUAUAUUAUGUGACACAGACGACUUUAAAAUAAAGGGAGGUUAUGGGUUUGGGCCUGACCUAAUCAUAUGAACCUUUUAAAUCUGAGUCUGGAAGUCAGAGAUUUGAAGUGUGCCAGGGAUUGUAGGGGAGGGAAAUCCUCCUGUGCCCUUGUAAACAGAGGCACUGCUAGUGAGAACUUUUUUUUUAAUUGUUAUUUCCCCAAUACAAUUUUUUUCCUACUGUACAGCAUGGUGACCCAGUUAUGCAUACAUGUGUACAUUCUAUUUUCUCACAUUAUCAGGCUCCAUCAUAAGUGAUUAGAUGGAGUUUCCUGUGCUACACAGCAGGAUCUCAUUGCUAAUCCAUUCCAAAGGCAAUAGCCUGCAUCUAUUAGUCCCAAGCUCCCCAUCCAUCCCACUCCCUCCCCUUCCCCCUUGGCAACCACAAGUCUGUUCUCCAUGUCCAUGAGUUUCUUUUUUGUGGAAAGGUUCAUUUGUGCCAUAUAUUAGAUUCCAGAUAUAAAUGAUAGCAGACCCUCAUACUGAGUGAAGUAAGUCAGAAAGAGAAAGACAAAUACCAUACGCUAGUGAGAGCUUGAUGGUGGCUUCUAAGAACUGAGAUUGAUUCCUGCUGCCAGCCAGUGAGAAAACGAAUGGUCCACCCUGAAUUCUGCCAACAACCUGAAUGAGCUGUAUGAGGACCCCAAGUUCUAGAUUAGAACGUGGCACAGCCGGGACCCUGACAUCAGCCUUGGGAGACCCCGAGCAGAGAGCCCAGCCACACGUGUCCUGGACUUCCAACCUCCAGAAACCCUGAGAUAAUAAGUGGAUGUUGUUUGACGGUGCUAGGUCUGUGGCGAUGUGUUACAGCAGCAGCAGAAAACUAGACCAAGUCACAACACGAGUCAAUAUCACAUCCUCCUUGAGAGGAUGCUCCGAAAGGGCACGUCACAUCUGAGAUUCUCUUGCC